GUUUUUUUAACUGCUGUUGAUGCUGUUUUGUUUCCACUUUUUGCCACCCUCCUGGAGAGAUGCAGGGCAAAUUUCCUAUGCACAUGCAUGGCAGGCUUUAUAUUGCUUUUUUAUUUUUUUGGAGUGCUUGCCAGUCAAACAGAAAUCCCACUUUCCAUGAAUGGGAUGCUGAUAAAGUUAAGUGAGGAAAGUGCAUUUGCCCUGAUGAGUCUUCUUGGAGCGAAUAUUAUGCCUCAUAAUUUUUACCUCCAUUCAUC
This 257-nucleotide unclassified non-coding RNA is filed under the name Hevea brasiliensis (rubber tree). Lineage: Eukaryota; Viridiplantae; Streptophyta; Magnoliopsida; Malpighiales; Euphorbiaceae. The record is from RNAcentral.